RNAcentral lists this long non-coding RNA (349 nucleotides) under Oryza sativa (Asian cultivated rice). RNAcentral's name for it is "long non-coding RNA (OSAT_LNC000935)". Lineage: Eukaryota; Viridiplantae; Streptophyta; Magnoliopsida; Poales; Poaceae. The record is from RNAcentral.
CGCCGGCCACCGCUCGUGAUCGAAACACCGGCACCUGUCAGAUCGACGGAGGAGAAAUCUUGGGUGGAGCUAGCAGUUGCCGAUCGAGAGACAAAAGUGUGGAUGGGCUUGCUUACCUAUUAUCUUACCGGCGGUUAAUUUCUCAUCUUUGGAGCAACGCCGGUCGCCGGCGGCGACUAGCUACUCUAGCAGUCGUCGCGCUUCUUCGUUCUCUGGCCGUGCCAGAGUGGGGCGCUCGCAUCGCAGCUGGCGCGUUCCAUACGGCGAAGCUGGAAGGAGCCCCAGUGUGACUGUGGCGAAGCUGGACGACGGUCACGAGCCUUAGGACGUGUUUGGAAGCUCGGAUAGC